UACGUAGGGUGCAAGCGUUGUCCGGAAUUAUUGGGCGUAAAGAGCUCGUAGGCGGUCUGUCGCGUCGGCUGUGAAAACCCGGAGCUCAACUCCGGGCCUGCAGUCGAUACGGGCAGACUGGAGUUCGGCAGGGGAGACUGGAAUUGCCGGUGUAGUGGUGAAAUGCGUAGAGAUCGGCAGGAACACCCAGGGGGAAACCAGUCGACUGGGCAGCACCUGACGCUGAGGUGCGAGAGCGUGGGGAGCGAACCGG
RNAcentral lists this ribosomal RNA (253 nucleotides) under uncultured bacterium. Its description in RNAcentral is "partial 16S ribosomal RNA". It matches the Rfam family "Bacterial small subunit ribosomal RNA", at positions 524 to 776 of the family's 1533-position model. The record is from RNAcentral.